CAGCAGCCACGGGAAUACGGAGGGAGCUAGCGUUGUUCGGAAUUACUGGGCGUAAAGCGCACGUAGGCGGCUUUGUAAGUUAGAGGUGAAAGCCUGGAGCUCAACUCCAGAAUUGCCUUUAAGACUGCAUCGCUUGAAUCCAGGAGAGGUGAGUGGAAUUCCGAGUGUAGAGGUGAAAUUCGUAGAUAUUCGGAAGAACACCAGUGGCGAAGGCGGCUCACUGGACUGGUAUUGACGCUGAGGUGCGAAAGCGUGGGGAGCAAACAGGAUUAGAGACCCCAGUAGUCCCUGUCUCUUAUAA
Molecule: ribosomal RNA, 301 nt
Filed under: uncultured bacterium
Lineage: Bacteria
Description: partial 16S ribosomal RNA
Rfam family: Bacterial small subunit ribosomal RNA
Source: RNAcentral